RNAcentral lists this transfer RNA (73 nucleotides) under Microcaecilia dermatophaga (tiny white caecilian). Its description in RNAcentral is "tRNA-Thr". It matches the Rfam family "tRNA". From Rfam's summary of the family: Transfer RNA (tRNA) molecules are approximately 80 nucleotides in length. Lineage: Eukaryota; Metazoa; Chordata; Amphibia; Gymnophiona; Siphonopidae. The record is from RNAcentral.
GUUUAAGUAGUUUAACAUCCCAAAGCAUCAGUCUUGUAAACUGACGAUGGGGGUUAGCCACCCCCCUUAAACU